GAGUAUGUUUCCUGCAUUUAAGAGAAUUUAGCAGGCAGAGCUCAGUUCUGCAAGGCAGAGGCAAUGCCUCAGUGACCGGGAGAACCAGCUCCAGGCUAGCCUCCUGUCCUUCCCACGUGAUGUCUGCUCGGAAUGGCUUCUCUGGUGCCCUUCAAGUUCAUCUCAAAGUUAUCAGCAUCUAAAAAUGCCAACAUCGUGACUUAUUUAGGAGCACCAGGAACAGAGCUGCACAAACCCCCUGCCUGACCAGCCUGGGACACACAGGUACUUAAAUGGCGGGAUCCUGUGGGAAACUGUUCCCUGUGAGGUUCCAGCAGCUCCCCAGAAACAUCCUAAACACAGUGAUUAUGGGACACUGUACAUGUUGAGGAGAGGGUGGGAUAGGGGACAAAGGGAGAAGGCAAUGGCUUAGCAGCUCUCAAUAUCAAGUCCUUCCCAACAGAAGCAGAGAUCUGGAAGAAAUCACCUCUCAGGGCCAUUCUACAUGACCGUCCCCCAUGCCAGGGUUUCUCAACCUCAGCACUAUGGUAUUUUGAACUGGGAAAUCCUUCGUUGUGGGGAGGGCUGCCCUGUGCACCGUAUGACAUCUGGAAGUAUCCCUGGCCUCUCUCCACUGAAGACCAACUAGUACCCUUCCUGCUCCUCCACUGUGACAAGCAAAAAUAUGUCCGGACAUUGCCCAGUGUCCCCUGGGGGCACCCAAUUGUCCACCUUGAAAAGGGCUGAGAAAAUGUAGUCUGGUUGCUAUCUCCUAGGGCAUUAGGGCAACAGGGACUGCCCCAGGUAAGCCACACCACCAGCCUUGAGGAGGAGAAGGAGGUCCAGGAGGAGACGGUGCUCCAGCGCCAGCAGACCUCCUCUCUCCACUGCCACAAAACCCACCUCUUCACAGGUCUGGUCCACAUCAGGCAGGAGACCUCAGCCUACCAAAGACAUCCCCGCUACCGGAGAGUCUCAGGGCCCACCCGCCAUCACUCCACAUGACAAUUCACUUCGGGUAUUGGGUAUAUAAAUACCACGUACUUGGCGAAGUUGUCUGGAAGGAAGACACAUACUUCUCGGUCCCUCGAAGCCUUGUUCAACUACCCAUCCCAGCUCUACCCUUUCCUCUAUUCAACAACCUUGACCAAAAGGUAUCCUAAGGUGCCAGAUGGCCUAAGAAACAUCUACCAAAGUCUUGCUCUCCAGGACCUUGGGGAAUCAAGAGUGGCAACACCGGCCAAGUAGCAUGGAGGCAUUUACGGGCCAAGGGACAGAUGGGUGGAAGGCCCAAGCCAGAAAGGGUGGUGUGGGCGGAGCCAGGGAGAUCCCGCAGGACAGGCUGACAAGCUUCCGGGCUGUAGAAAAGCAAAGAUCCUGUGUAACCACAGCUUUGCCCAAGCAGAGAUGAUGCUGGCUGCGCUGCUGACUAUAAAUCUUGUCUGCUUGGGGCUGGGUUUGGCUCACUAGAGACCCGUCCCCCACCAGCUACAGUUUUGCUAAAUUUAGUGCCGUUGCCAGCCACCCAAACGACUCUGCUCUUCGUGUCCAUUUCAGGUUCACCCGGGGACAGGCGGAGACUCGUCAAGAAGAGAUCUGCCCUCGUGUGACCCUCUCCCUUGCCCACUGAAGUCAGGGCCCAGGGGAGCAGACCAUGCGAGACACCACAGCCGGAGGUCUCCAGGGCUCCAAAAGCAGUCUCUGCCCCAAGAUGGCACACGGAGGGCAAAGGGGUUCCUGAGUCCAGAACGCCCCUCCCUCUGCCUAUGCCCAACCACCCAGGCUUCACUCCUGGGGAGUCACAGAUGCUGUGGCCUGAGAGGGGUCCUGCUCCCUCUGACAAGAGGCUGGUGGGCAAUGGAGAGACACACACCCCGGACGGUCCUGGGGGAGGGCCCCACCACCUUGGAGAUAAUAAUGUAUUUAAAUAGUCACAGGCCCUAAAAUGCAGAGGUUAAGAUAGUGAUUUCUAAACCUUGUUGCUCGUUGAAAUUACCUGGGAAGCUUCAAAAACUACUGAUGCCUGAGUGUGACCACCCGAGACUGUGAUAUAAUUAAUCUGGACUGUGAUGUAAUUGGUCUGGACUGUGAUAUAAUUGAUCUGGGCUGUGAUGUAACUGGCCUGGGCUUUGGAAAUUUUAAAAGAUUUCCUGGUGGUUCCAAUGUUCAGACAAGUUGAAGAACCAACAGAUUAAGAACAUGGGCUUCUGCCUUCCAGCUGCCCCAGGUGGACUCCUGACCCAACCUGUGUGCGAUGGGACCUCAGGCAAGCCGUUUAACCUGUCUAUGCCCCAGUUUCAGCAGCCUGUAAAAUGCACGUAACAACGUGUAUCACAUCUCUCAGAGUGUUGCUGGGAAGACUUAUGAGACAAUCCGUGGAAAACAGACAGAACAGUGGUAUGCAGUAAGUGCUCAACAAAAGUUAGGAAUCAUUACUAUUAUGGUAAGAGGAAGGGAAAUGAAAGGAGACCUAAGAGCUGUCUCUAUGAGGCCCAAGAAGUAAGAGUUUCUAUAGAAUGGAAAUUGGGACGAUUUCAAGAAGUGGGCAGGAGGGAAGCCUCCACAGCCACCUGUCCUUAGGAGGAGGACCGCCCACUGCCCCUGCCUCUUCAUGCUUGUCCCCCUCCCCUGCCGUCACGGUCCUCCCCGCCCCCCACCCUUCUGACUCCCACCACUCAGGGCCCAGCUUUGACUGCCCCAGGGCUCCCUCCUCAGGUCUCUCACACUACCGCCCCAUGCCUCUGUGGGAUGAAUGAAUGCUUUGAUAUUUACUAGUCCAGUCUCCUCAACAAGACAAUGAGCGGCUUGGGGAAGGCCCCAGUUCUCAUGCUUCUGUGGGUCAGCACCAUGCUGAUCACCCAGCUCUGGAUUAGUAUGUACGGAAUGAAAACACAUUUUGAGCCAGCAGAGCUAACUGCGCACCAGCAAGGAUCCCGGCUCGGUGCCCAGGAGAGCGGGGCCAGCGCUCAAGAGUCAUGGAAUUCUGGGCUCUUCCCACAAGCCUCCACCCACCCACUCCCAAGGCCUGGAGAUGGCCUCUGGGGAAGUGGCUGGAACCCGCUGUCUACGCCAAGGGCCAAGAGAUCGUUCCAGGACAGUUUCUCAGACAUUUUGGACCUUGAUCCACAGCAAGAAGUAAAGUUUACUGAAUGAUCCUGUACAAGAUCCGUGUGUACUUGUGUACAGGCAGAUAUAUACCUAUAUAAAACCGUAACACAGUUUCAUGGAAUCAUACUCAUCUUUACUACAUAGUAUGUGAUCUAGUAUUUUCUACUAUGUUCUUUUUUAAAAAAGCAUUGGUCUCAACACUAAGUUGACUUCACAACCCCUCCCCACUAAUUAAGGUGCCUGGACUUGCAGUCCAAAAACCACUAGGGGGAAAAUAGGAGGGGCUCGAAAGAACUUUGAAAAAUCACUCACAGACGCACCUCCCCACAAAGCAAAAAUCCCACCAAGCACAUGAAGGAGGACCUCCGCAGAGGGGAGGGAGGCCCUGCAUCACUCUAUCAAUCAAGGCUGCUCCCAGGAGUCCACAAGUCGGCCCUCAGCUUUGCUCUGCGGGCAGGAGCCCAGCCACUCCCCACUUUCACCUCUGGCAGUAGUUUCUGGGGCUGGGAACCACCUAGCUUCAGCGGGGGGCAGGACUGAUUCUCAGGGAGUGUUGCUCACUGGGAUAGAGUAUCGUCUCACCACCCCUCAACCUCAUCCUGCCUCUGGGUGAACUUCUAUAACAAAGGCAGAAAUGCCAACACAGGGCUGCCCACGUCGGGUUUUUUAAAUCUCCAAACAUCCUAUCCAUAUAUCAGAUACCCCACAAAAUCUACAGAUACAUAUAUCAGAUACAUAUACACAUAUCAGAUACGCCAUAAAUUGGUUUUUAAAUGUACUGUUAACUCAAGGUACACAAAUACCCUUUAUAUUAAUUUUUAUGACACUAGGAAGAAAACAGUCCAUUUUAAACUACCCGAGGACCUGUCUUUCUCCUUUUUCAAGCAGCCCCUGAAAUCUUGCUGCCCCUCCCUCCGGCAGCCCUUCUGAUGGAGUUCUCCAAGCCUUUACCACCGUGAUGUGAACCUCUAAUGACUCCUUUCCACAAUCUCUGUUCCCAGAAAUGCAAACACUGCUUUUCUGCGUCUGUAAUUACUGCUUGUCUGGGUAUCUGAGUUGGAAACUAUGUCACAGAGAAAAGUUAGCAGAAGCAUUCCAUAUUCUGAAUUAGUAUUAAAGGUUCAGUUUGUUUUUUUUCCCCAGGUAAACUUUGCUGUUUUGUCCCAAGCUAAAGGAGCACACACUGGAUCUUUCAUGUCAGUGCACAGGGACGCCUCCCCCAAACUCCACUGCUCCCCCAACCUCAGUGGGGCCACUACUGUGCCUGCCACUUACCAGGGCCAUUAACACCCCGAAUGCCUGCAGAGCACACACUCAUCUGAGUCAAUUCCCAAAGACUCCAGGGAAAAAGGUGUCUUCUCCCUGUUUUAAGAGCUCAUACGCACUGGCAGUGCCCCUCCUCCCCACCAGUCUAGAGCAGGUUUUAUAACUUGGGAUCUGUGAGUCGUCUCCCAGAUCACGUGCUGUUGUGAUUUUUUUUUUUUCUUCCUGGAAAAAGAGACUAUAAGUUUCCAUGCAAUUCUUAGUGAGAACUGGUGCAACCAAAGUCAUAUUCAUAGCAGUCAGGGCCUCCUAAGACUGCCCGUACCUGCAAUACGUAGCCCCGUCUGCCCCAUACACCCCCCAGAGCAGGCAGACCAUGCUUCUUCCAACAAGCCAUUUCCUCCUUCACUCUGGGCCUUUGUGUUGUACCUUUGGGUGAAGGCUCACUCCUCCAACACCAGCUUUGACAGAAAAAAAUCAGAAAAAAAAACCCACAAAAAAUGAACCUUUAAUACUAAUUCAGAAUAUGGAAUGCUUCUGCUAACUUUUCUCUGUGACAUGGCUUCCAACUCAGCAUUGACAGGGACCAAGCGCUGGGCUAGCCUCUGAGGACUCAGUCCUGAGCGAGACAGGCAAGAUCUUUUUCCUCCCGUUCCAAGAGACAUCCUCCAAUUCCCGACUGCCCCCCUUCUGGCUAAUAUAACACUUUCUUACACUCUAUUCACAUCCCUUUUAUGCUUUGUCUUGUAACCAUUAGCUCUCUGAGGACAGAGACCAUGUCUCAUUCAUGCUGGCAUGUUCUUUCCUUUCCCAUCCCUUCCCAUCCCCAUCCAGAAAGACAGCGCCUUUCACAUAGAAGGCCCCAUACAAUUGCGCACCAAUGAGGCAUGCUGCCGGGCUAGCUAGUGGUCUAAGCAGCCAAGACUGGUGGCCCACCAGGCACAGCCAUGCUCAUCGAUGCAGGGUCGAGGGGACGUGGGAGAUGGUCUCUACUGCAGCAGGGACUACACAGGCCUCUGUUCCCAGCCACAGCCUGUAGUGCUCCUUCUGGCCACUCAUCUUGUAAAUUGUGUUCUGUUCACAGCAGUUGGAAAAAUAACUCCAAGUGUACGUAUCCACCCGACAUACCUCCUAGACUGUCAGAUGGAUGCAGAGCAUACUUGCACAACAUUUUCAGCAUAUAGGUGAGCUGACGGACAACAAUGCUUCAAAGAUGUAUCUCCUCUCUCUUUAAGAAGAGAGCUGGCUCUUCUAGCUACCUCGGCCAUUUCUGCCAGCAGUCGCCGCCAGCUCACUUCCAGAGCAGGUCUGAGCUCUGGAACUCCGCCGUCACAACAUGGCUAUGCCACAAGUCACUGCCUACUUUGCUGCCUGUCAGAUCCAGAAUGAGGCAUCCAGACUCAUCAGACAUCAAGGCUACAAUGCUAUUUUCCCCAGUGGCCCCAAAGCUUUCAAUAAUGUUAAA
This is a long non-coding RNA of Manis pentadactyla (Chinese pangolin), 5815 nucleotides long. RefSeq lists it as uncharacterized. The transcript is spliced from 2 exons. Lineage: Eukaryota; Metazoa; Chordata; Mammalia; Pholidota; Manidae. The record is from RefSeq and is a predicted model, not a curated record.